GAUCCUGGCUCAGAAUCAACGCUGGCGGCGUGCCUCAGACAUGCAAGUCGAACGAUUAAACUUCUCUUCGGAGAAGAUAUAAAGUGGCGCACGGGUGAGUAACACGUAAGUAAUCUACCUUCGAGUGGGGAAUAACGUUCGGAAACGGACGCUAAUACCGCAUAAUGCAGCGGCAUCGCAAGAUGACAGUUGUUAAAGAUUUAUCGCUUGAAGAGGAGCUUGCGGCAGAUUAGCUAGUUGGUAAGGUAACGGCUUACCAAGGCGACGAUCUGUAUCCGGUCUAAGAGGACGGUCGGACACACUGACACUGAAUAACGGGUCAGACUCCUACGGGAGGCAGCAGUCGGGAAUUUUGGGCAAUGGGCGAAAGCCUGACCCAGCAACGCCGCGUGAAGGAUGAAGUUUUUCGGAAUGUAAACUUCGUAAGAAUAGGAAGAAUAAAUGACGGUACUAUUUGUAAGGUCCGGCUAACUACGUGCCAGCAGCCGCGGUAAUACGUAGGGACCAAGCGUUGUUCGGAUUUACUGGGCGUAAAGGGCGCGUAGGCGGCAAUUCAAGUCAGCUGUGAAAUCUCCGGGCUUAACUCGGAACGGUCAGCUGAUACUGCUUUGCUAGAGUGCAGAAGGGGCAAUCGGAAUUCUUGGUGUAGCGGUGAAAUGCGUAGAUAUCAAGAGGAACACCUGAGGUGAA
RNAcentral lists this ribosomal RNA (690 nucleotides) under uncultured Acidobacteriota bacterium. Its description in RNAcentral is "bacterial SSU rRNA". It matches the Rfam family "Bacterial small subunit ribosomal RNA", at positions 15 to 719 of the family's 1533-position model. Lineage: Bacteria; Pseudomonadati; Acidobacteriota. The record is from RNAcentral.